UGCUGAUGGAGAGUGAAAACCCACU
Molecule: non-coding RNA, 25 nt
Filed under: Mus musculus (house mouse)
Lineage: Eukaryota; Metazoa; Chordata; Mammalia; Rodentia; Muridae
Source: RNAcentral